GGGGACGUGGCUCAGUUGGGAGAGCGCAGCGUUCGCAACGCUGAGGCCGGGAGUUCGAUCCUCCUCGUCUCCA
Molecule: transfer RNA, 73 nt
Filed under: Lachnospiraceae bacterium XPB1003
Lineage: Bacteria; Bacillati; Bacillota; Clostridia; Lachnospirales; Lachnospiraceae
Also listed under: 2 other names
Rfam family: tRNA
About the family: Transfer RNA (tRNA) molecules are approximately 80 nucleotides in length. Their secondary structure includes four short double-helical elements and three loops (D, anti-codon, and T loops). Further hydrogen bonds mediate the characteristic L-shaped molecular structure. tRNAs have two regions of fundamental functional importance: the anti-codon, which is responsible for specific mRNA codon recognition, and the 3' end, to which the tRNAs corresponding amino acid is attached (by aminoacyl-tRNA synthetases). tRNAs cope with the degeneracy of the genetic code in two manners: having more than one tRNA (with a specific anti-codon) for a particular amino acid; and 'wobble' base-pairing, i.e. permitting non-standard base-pairing at the 3rd anti-codon position.
Source: Rfam by way of RNAcentral